UUAAGGUCCUGCAACGAGCGCAACCCCUGUCACUAGUUGCCAUCAUUCAGUUGGGGACGUCUAGUGAGACUGCCUACGCAAGUAGAGAGGAAGGUGGGGGAUGACGUCAAAUCAUCACGGCCCUUACGUCUUGGGCCACACACGUAAUACAAUGGCCGGUACAGAGGGCAGCUACACAGCGAUGUGAUGCAAAUCUCGAAAGCCGGUCUCAGUUCGGAUUGGAGUCUGCAACUCGACUCUAUGAAGCUGGAAUCGCUAGUAAUCGCGCAUCAGCCAUGGCCGCGGUCGAAUACGUUCCCGGGCCUU
RNAcentral lists this ribosomal RNA (306 nucleotides) under uncultured Cloacibacterium sp. Its description in RNAcentral is "bacterial SSU rRNA". It matches the Rfam family "Bacterial small subunit ribosomal RNA", at positions 1080 to 1382 of the family's 1533-position model. Lineage: Bacteria; Pseudomonadati; Bacteroidota; Flavobacteriia; Flavobacteriales; Weeksellaceae. The record is from RNAcentral.